CCCACCAAUCACACGAGCACUCAUUGUAUAUAAUGUAUCAUUUACAAAUAUUGGACUUAAUACUGAAAUUUUAUGGGCAAAUGGGGCCAAUAGGCGGGACCCUACUCUGCUCUAUAAAGACAGUACCCAUUCUUUUCCAGCAUCAAAUUAACCAAACAAAUCGUUUCAAAAAUGGCCGCAGCAAAGCUUCUAUUUCUUGCAGCUGUGCUCUCUCUCUUCUACCUCUCCGGCGCGGCGGACACCGCCACCAGUUUCAUCAAAAACUCUUGCAAACCCACUACUUAUCCCGAUCUGUGCGUCGCUUCCCUUUCCGGUUACGCACAGACCAUAAAAAACAGCCAAGAACAGCUAAUCAAAACAGCCUUGUCCGUAAGCCUGGACAGAGCCCAAUCGACAAAGGGAUUCGUAAGCAAGCUCUUGAAAUUCAAGGGAUUAAAGCCCAGAGAAUACGAAGCUAUUAAAGAUUGCGUAGAGGAGACAAGUGAUAGUGUAGAUCGGCUAAGCAAAUCGGUGAGUGAGCUCAAGGAAGUGGA
RNAcentral lists this long non-coding RNA (533 nucleotides) under Nicotiana tabacum (common tobacco). RNAcentral describes it as "long non-coding RNA (NTAB_LNC001705)". Lineage: Eukaryota; Viridiplantae; Streptophyta; Magnoliopsida; Solanales; Solanaceae. The record is from RNAcentral.